CCCGGGUCUUGUACACACCGCCCGUCACACCAUGGGAGCGGGUUUUACCAGAAGUGGGUAGCCUAACCGCAAGGAGGGCGCUCACCACGGUAGGAUUCGUGACAGGGGUG
RNAcentral lists this ribosomal RNA (110 nucleotides) under uncultured bacterium. RNAcentral describes it as "partial 16S ribosomal RNA". It matches the Rfam family "Bacterial small subunit ribosomal RNA", at positions 1373 to 1482 of the family's 1533-position model. The record is from RNAcentral.